GGGGUCCGGGAGGCGGCUGCGGCCCAGGCAGGGAGCUUUUUUUUUUUCUUGCCGCUAGGGAGGUGCGAGGUCCAGCUCCUGUACUUCCUUUACCCGCCCGGGAGCUCGUGUUUGAACCUCAAAAUGGUGCGGUAGAAGGCUGCCGCUAGGUUGAGCUGCACAACUGGGUCGUUUUGUGGAACGGCUCAAUGGUGGGAGGCAAGCGACCUGGCUUCUGGUGAUGCUUCUCUUCUACCACGAUGUGUUUUGUGUUUUUGUUUUCAUUUUUAAAAUUUUAAAAGUGUUUGUUUAUUUAUUUAUUAUUUUUUUUUUUAAUGUGGCCCAAGUUUGCUUGGCCCCAGUUCUCUCAAUCUUGAUUUCCCCAUGUCUAAAAUAAGGGGCCUGGCUACCGUCUCUGUCAUUACAUCCUUCAAGUGUCUACCAACUCUAGUGCUAACACAGGGCUCAUCUUGAAUGCAGACACGCAACUACUAGCGAACCAUUAUACAGAGGCAGUGUGCACCCCCAAAGCAAUGAGAGUGACCCGCCAACCUCCUUCCUUGGGAAGUAAAGUCAGCAUCUCAAUGUCAAGCUGCUGGAGCUUUGAACUGACUGCAGUAUAGGUCUUUAGAGACCAUUCUUGGAAAUAAAUGGAAUUGACAAACACCAAACUGUGGUAUAAUUGCCCGUCCCCUCCUACCAAGGUGCUGUUACUGAAUCAGCUUGUGCCUGAUACCUUUAAGAGACCCUUCUGGAUUUCCUGGCCAGGGUAAUGCGCCAGGAGUCACACAUUGGUUUCCUGAGUCAGCAGCUGGGAUGGAUCCAUCAGCAACGGAAAAGAGGAGGUUAAAUAGUCCACACAGGAGGCUGAGUAUACAGUACCAGAGCCUUUGGAAGAAACUAGGAGAAGGUGGAACCACAGAUGCUAAGAAAAUAAUAUCAAGAAACUUGGGAGUGACCAACGGUAUCCAGUGCCACAAGAAAAUAAAGAUGAGAGAAAAUUAUCUUUUGAGGUGGAGAAGGCUUACAUUUUAAUUGAAGCCCGGUGUUGUUACCCAAUGCUCAGUAAGCCUGUGUCUGAGACACCGGUUUUGAAACAAAAGAAGCAGCCCUCGGUGCCUUGGUGGCUCAGUCAGUUAAGUGUCUGCCUUCUUCUGAGGUCAUG
This is a long non-coding RNA of Lutra lutra (Eurasian river otter), 1144 nucleotides long. RefSeq lists it as uncharacterized. The record is from RefSeq and is a predicted model, not a curated record. Lineage: Eukaryota; Metazoa; Chordata; Mammalia; Carnivora; Mustelidae. The transcript is spliced from 5 exons.